CACAUGCUACUCCAUAUUUGAUAUUUUUCUUCUUCCUUUAUGUGAUAAUCAAAUCAAAUUCAACUUCUGUGUUCUAGCAUCAAUGGCGGAAUUGACUUUAACUCCAAUAUAGACAAUCAUUGAUCAUUCUCAACAGCAACAACAAGAUCAAGUACCUUGACAUCUGGAAACAGAGGCAUGGACUCCAACUUUGGGCAACUCCAUAACUUCAGUUUCUUGAGACAGUCAAAUGAUAGUGAUGACCCAAGUGUUUCGUCCUUGCACCAUCUCUCCAAGCAAUAAAAAUCGUGCAGUGUGAGUUCUUCAAGGGUUAGGAAGAAUUGAGAUUCUAGUGUUGAUGAUAGGUUGUCAGAGUUUUCAAAAAAUUGCACAUUAUCCAUAAAUCGAAGAGUGAGGUGCCUGAGGUGUGGGAGCCAACCGAAAGGAGGGAGUGUUUGGCACUGUCCAAUGUCAUCAAUGCUGACAUUGACGAGUUCUGGGAGUACUGUGGCAAAAGUUCUGGGAGCAUUUUCAGAUUAAAAGGCGUCUAGAGGCCAUCUAACAUCGUCUAGUACUUAAGUGAAUCACUUUUGCUGGUAUCUCUUGCAGGUCCCCAUUUGAUUGCUAGCUCUAUAAGCCCGGUUUGCCGCUCAAGUUUGAUAUUGCAACUUCAUUUACAGCAGCACGCAGUCCAACUUUCUGAAAACUCAAUCAUUAGUCUUCCCUGUAAGCGAUUGAGGUUGCUAGUGACUGAAACCCACUGGUAGACUAAAUUUUAGAUUGUUAAUGUUCCUCUAAGUUCAAAUUUCAGAUUCUUGCCUUCUUAACUACUUUAUUAAUCAUGCUAACUUGCUAA
Molecule: long non-coding RNA, 835 nt
Organism: Chenopodium quinoa (quinoa)
Lineage: Eukaryota; Viridiplantae; Streptophyta; Magnoliopsida; Caryophyllales; Amaranthaceae
Exons: 2
Source: RefSeq, a predicted model, not a curated record